UUUUAGCUCAGUCGGUUAGAGCAUCUGACUGUUAAUCAGAGGGUCGCUGGUUCGAGCCCAGCAA
This 64-nucleotide transfer RNA is filed under the name human oral metagenome. It matches the Rfam family "tRNA", at positions 6 to 65 of the family's 71-position model. Rfam says of the family: Transfer RNA (tRNA) molecules are approximately 80 nucleotides in length. Their secondary structure includes four short double-helical elements and three loops (D, anti-codon, and T loops). The record is from RNAcentral.